Molecule: ribosomal RNA, 253 nt
Filed under: uncultured bacterium
Lineage: Bacteria
Also listed under: 1 other name
Description: partial 16S ribosomal RNA
Rfam family: Bacterial small subunit ribosomal RNA
Source: RNAcentral
UACGUAGGUGGCAAGCGUUGUCCGGAUUUAUUGGGCGUAAAGCGCGCGCAGGCGGUCCUUUAAGUCUGAUGUGAAAUCUUGCGGCUCAACCGCAAGCGGUCAUUGGAAACUGGGGGACUUGAGUGCAGAAGAGGAAAGCGGAAUUCCACGUGUAGCGGUGAAAUGCGUAGAGAUGUGGAGGAACACCAGUGGCGAAGGCGGCUUUCUGGUCUGUAACUGACGCUGAGGCGCGAAAGCGUGGGGAGCAAACAGG